This 73-nucleotide transfer RNA is filed under the name Canis lupus familiaris (dog). It matches the Rfam family "tRNA". From Rfam's summary of the family: Transfer RNA (tRNA) molecules are approximately 80 nucleotides in length. Their secondary structure includes four short double-helical elements and three loops (D, anti-codon, and T loops). Lineage: Eukaryota; Metazoa; Chordata; Mammalia; Carnivora; Canidae. The record is from Rfam by way of RNAcentral. RNAcentral also lists the same sequence under 1 other name.
GCCUGGCUGGCUCAGUCGGUAGAGCAUGUGACUCUCAAUCUCAGGGUUGUGAGUUCAAGCUCCAUGUUGGGCA